ACCUAUGCAGGGGAAUAACCUCGGGAAACUGAGUAUAAUGCCCCAUAGUCCACUACGCCUGGAACGGUGAGUGGAUCAAAGCUCAGGCGGCAUAGGAUGGGCCUGCGGCGUAUCAGGUUGUAGGGGGUGUAAAGUACCCUCUAGCCAUCUACGCGUACGGGUGUUGGGAGACAUAGCCCGGAGAUGGAUUCUGAGACACGAAUCCAGACCCUACGGGGUGCAGCAGGCGCGAAAACUUCACACUGCAGGAAACUGUGAUGAGGGAACUCCAAGUGCUAUCACUAUGUGGUAGCUUUUCUUGACUAUUAAUCGGUCAUGGAAUAAGGGCUGGGAAAGACCGGUGCCAGCCGCCGCGGUAAUACCGGCAGCUCAAGUGGUCGUCGCUUUUAUUGGGCCUAAAACGUCCGUAGCCUGUUUGGUAAAUCUGUGGGUAAAUCAACCAGCUUAACUGGUUGAAUUCUGCAGAGACUGCCAGACUAGGGACCGGGAGAGGUGUGGGGUACUCUAGGGGUAGGGGUAAAAUCCUGUCAUCCUUAGAGGACCACCAGUUGCGAAGGCGCCACACUGGAACGGAUCCGACGGUCAGGGACGAAGCCUAGGGGCACGAACCGGAUUAGAUACCCGGGUAGUCCUAGGUGUAAACGCUGUG
RNAcentral lists this ribosomal RNA (649 nucleotides) under uncultured archaeon. RNAcentral describes it as "bacterial SSU rRNA". It matches the Rfam family "Archaeal small subunit ribosomal RNA", at positions 112 to 764 of the family's 1478-position model. The record is from RNAcentral.